ACACCUCUGAGCGAAUGACCGGCGCUGCCGCCGUCGUCAUCAACAAGCGGUGAACAAACGUCAAGUCACAUAGUCUUUGUGGGAUGCUCCUUGUCUCAUGAGAAUCUGCCGCCACAAUGCAAAGGUGUGUCCGUGCCUCUUCCUCUGGGCCGUCAAAACAAUAUUUUACACACAAGACAGUGAAGAGUGACAUCACGUGUGCACACGUCACUCUACACUGCCACUGAGAUCAACUGAGCGUUGCUGCUGCACAUGGACACACAUGUGUGCAGAGAAAUAGUGUUUCCCAUGUGUGGAAUUAAUUUGUAUAUAGGCAGUGCACAGAUCUCACAAUACAUGUAUUAUAGUUCUUAUUAGUGGUAAUGGUGGCACACUGCACACAUCAUAAGAGAAAACAAACUGUGAUAAUGAGGCCAUCUUGUGGAUAUGUGCGGACCCUUUUUAUAUUUGGACAUUUGGAGAUUACUCAUUUCCUAAAUCUUCAUGUGGAUGUGUAUUUUGUAACUGACCACAUGUCAAAGUGAUAUGGUCCAGCCCUCUUUAUUAACACGGCUACAUGUUACCUGAAAUGAACCCCAGAAACUUGCGCAGCCUCCGCAGUGACCGGCAGGGGUCUAUGGAGGACUCAAAAUGACUUAAGUAUUAAUAAAUAAAUAAAUAAACGCAUGAAUAAAUAUAGGAAUAAAUAAAUGCAAAAAUAAAUUUAUAAAUAAAUAACUAAAUACAGGAAUAAAUAAAUAAAUGCAAUAAUAAAUGUAUAAAUAAAUACAGAAAUGAAUAAAUAUAAGUUAUAACUCAACAGGACAUCAUUAAAUAAAUGUAUUUCUACAUUUCUGUAUUCCUUCAUUUAUUUAUAUGUGAAAUUUAUGUGUCCGUAUAUUCAAAUGAGCUGGGGCGGUCCGAACCUCAUUGUUAAACAGGAUUGGUCAAAUCGGGGAGCAAGACAGAAGCAAUCGAUCCCUAGCACUUGGACCUGUAGACGAACAGUGUUUAUUAUGCAUUCUUGUCUGUACAUUCUAAAUACUACUGUUGUUGAGUCACGGAAUGUAAUGUGUUAAUGUGUUAUGUUAAGGAUGUUUUCAGCCGAGAAGUUAGUAGUUUAAGCAUCAAAUUUGUGGUCGGUUUAUCAAGAUACAGCCUAAUAAGUAUAUACGACGGAGAUUUGAGGUCCUGCUCGCGGGACCACUGAGCUCCGGGCGCCGGGCGGUCAGCGCGCUGUGUGGCCGCCGAGAGAAGCCUGAUCUCGGCAGGACUUUUUUAAAUGCUCCGCUGGCUCUGACUUCUCCGUAGCGGCUAAACAUGAGAUAUAAUUAGGUUUUGGAGGAUCUAAAGAGCACAACGAGUUUAUUAUUUAUUACAAGAUAACGUUACGUCAAUUUGACUGAGGGUUAAGAUUCAUAACUUCAUAUUGUAGCGACCCUGGGUCAGGAAAGCUACGAGACGUUGUAUAUUUAUUACCGUUUAUUCGUAGCCUACGCCAAACGACAGGGAACACCGCAACACAUUCUACUCCACUGGAAAGUAUUUUACAGUGAAUAAUUGGAGUAAAUUCAUGAGCAAGAACAUUUGAUGUGGUGACGUCACAAGACCAGAAAGACCGUCCUGCGUCCUCGAGAGUCUGGACUCCCAAGACCAGACUCCAAAGGAACACGAGUCUGUACUCAGUGUACUUGGAAUUGAUAACACGGCUGAAGUAAAAAAGCUGUCGAGGCUAACUUCUGCUAACGGUGAGCUGAGCGAGCCAACUUCAGCAUCAUGUGCCAGGCAGAAGUAGUAGAGCAUAACACACCAGGUGCAUCACACUCCUGUGACCAAUCAUGCUUUAGACAGAGGUUCGGACCGCCCCAGCUCAUUUGAAUAUACGGACACGUACAGUAAAUGUCACACAUAAAUAAAUGAAGAAAUACGUGUGGACACAUAAAUAGAGAAAUAAAUAAAUGAAGAAAUACAGAAAUGUAUAAAUAUAUUUAUUUAAUGAUGUCCUGUUGAUUUAUAACUUAUAUUUAUUCAUUCCUGUAUUUAUUUCUUUAUUUAUACAUUUAUUUAUUUAUACAUUUAUUUAAGCAUUUAUUUCUUUAUUUAUACAUUUAUUUAAGCAUUUAUUUAUUUCUAUAUUUAUUCAUGCAUUUAUCUAUACUUGAGUCAUUUUGAGUCCUCCAUAGGGGUCGACACUAUGCAACACUUCCAAACGGAUUAACAAAGUAUCACGUUCACCUGAUCUUUCAUCUCAUAAUUUCAUUUUGAUAUCGUGCAAUGACUCUCAAACGUCCUAUUAAUCUCUUUAGGUCAACUGUAUAUACCUGACAAUAUUAUUUUGUUGCAAAGUAAAAACACAAAUGUAACUUGUUAUUUUCUUUGUCUUUAUUUUGUUAUCAUCUGUGUCUCUCCAUUGUUGCUAAAUUCUGUAUGAUCAUUUUAAAAUAAGCUAAAGUAGUAUUAUACAAAUGCUAUAAUUAAUUCGGUUUUCACAUUGUUUCCCUUUUAUAUAUUAAGAUUAUGUAUCAUUCAUUACCUUCUGUUCUGGUACACUGUAAAAAACGGCUGUGAAAUCCACAGUAAUUUACUGUGUUUGUGAGCAGUAACGUACUGUAUACUAUUUCCCAGUAAAAUACUGUGUAUUUAUUCGCAGAUUACAGUUAACAAAGAGUCCGUCAAAAUCACACAGGACUUUAUUAAAACACAGUAACAUAAAAAGUGCUGUAGAGAAUCACAGUAACCAAAAUAUACUGUAGAUAAUCACUGUACCCUACAAAGUACUGUGUAUAAUUACAGUAACUAAUAAUCUACUGUACUCACCGUAACCAACAAUAUACUGUGGACAUUUACUAUACCCAACAAAAUAUUGUAUAAAUUACAUUAUGCUGUAAAAAAAAUCAACAUACCCCAAAAAGUACUGUGGAAAAUCACAUGAGCCAACAAAAUACUGUAUACAUUUACAGUAACUAAUAAUAUAUUGUGGUACUAGUAGUAACCAACAAUAUACUGUAGUACGAGCAGUAACCAACAAUAUAGUCCAUCCAACACCACUGUAAAGAAUCUCGGCGUUAUCUUUGAUCGGGACUUGUCCUUUACCUCCCACGUGAAGCAAAUCUAAAGAACUGCAAUUUUUCAUCUCUGUAAUAUUUUAAAAAUCAGGCACAUCUUGUCUCAAAAAGAUGCAGAAAAAUUGUUUUCCACGUUCGUUGAUUAUUUUAUCGAUUAAUCGAUUAAUCGGAUUUUAAAAAAUAACUUUAAUUUUCAACCCUUUAUUCAAAACAGGGUUCGUACGGUCAUGGAAAACCUGGAAAAGUCAUGGAAUUUUUAAAUGGCUAUUAGCAGGCCUAGAAAAGUAAUUGAAAAAAAUUAAAUCCCAAAAUAUUUGGAAAAGUAAUGCAAAUUUGUUUAAUUCAAAUGUUAAUUUACACGGUAUAUAUACGGUAUGCUUUGGAAUUCUCAUGGUUAGUUUAAAUACUACAUCUUCUCACUUUGUCACGUAUAGACAGAGUUUUCACAAAAUGUUUAAUCAUGGAUAUUUGGUUUAAAGUCAUGGAAAGGUCCUGGAGAUCCACUGGUCAGCAUGUGGAUGAACCCGUCACAAACAGACUGACAGCGGUUUACUCUCCUGAGCAGUGGUCCCCAUGUGGACCGGCCCCCUGAACAAUAUCAGAGACGCAUUCCGAUUUAUUAUUUUUUUCACCUGCCGUUGAGAUUGCAGUGAGACGCGGAAAACAUGUGAAGUGGUGCUCUUCGCAAUAAAACAUCUUUGAUGGGACGUGUCGCGUCUCGGCCUAUCAGCGUUCAGAUGUCGACAGCGUUUGAGAAGUUAGGUUCGCUUGAAAGUUAGUCCGCUACAUCUGCUGCUGUCACGCUGCACGGUGUAGCGAUACUAACAAAGUACCUGUACGUUAAAAACGAUGUGAUUUUGCAUAUUUUUAUUCUCGAUACUUCAUUAAAAGAGCGCACGAUCAGAGCUCACGUGCUGCUCCGCUCCGUUAAAUGUUGUCUGCACGCGCAGCGCUCACAGCGAAUGGCGUCGGGGCUUAUCUCCGUUGACUUUCUCCGCGGAAAAAUAUUUUCCGCUAUCCGCCACGGAAUAAAUAACCACGUUUUCUACGUUAUACUCUUGUGGAAAUGCCACACACGUCGUGACAUGUAGCGCCCUGGUGUCUGGGUUCAUAACGUCACCCGUAGGCGCACUUAGCUCCGUGAAUGUCUCCGACUACGUGAAUGACUUCCGCAUCCAGCGCCACGUGAGCAGCAGCAGCCAAUUAGAUUCAUCAACAGAGGAGCAGCUCAGCGCUGAUUGGCUCUCACAACGCAGCGUUCUGUCCUCUCCCUCCGGUCUGGUUUCCCCUGCGCCGCUCUGCGCUCAACUCAACUUUGUUUAUACUCCGCGACUUAUUGAGCGCCGUAAUAAUCGCGCGACACAACGAAUCGAUAAUGAAAUUCGUUGCGAACUAUUUUAAUAAUCGAUUUUUAUCGAUUUUAUCGAUUCGUUGUUGCAGCCCUAAACUCCUUAUUAUCAGGCUGCUCUAAUAAGUCUCUUAGGUCCCUCCAGUUGAUCCAGAAUGCUGCAGCUCGUGUACUCACUAAAACUAAGAAAAGAGAUCACAUUACUCCAGUAUUAGCUGCGCAGCACUGGCUCCCCGUAUCACAUUUAAGAUUCUUCUCCUCACCUACAAAGCCUUGAUUGGGGAUGCUCCAUCAUAUCUUAAGGAGCUUGUAGGACCAUAUUGCCCCAAUAGAGAGCUGCGCUCACUAAAUGCGGGGCUACUUGUGGUUCUAAAGGUGCGUUCACACCAAAAGCGAUGCAAUUUUUUCGCGUGACCGAAUCCCAUGAAAAGUCAACGUACAGACGUGUGUGGCUGCAAUAGACACUAUAUUUUUCAGGGUGGCGCAUUUGGGGCUACGCGUUUACAGCGGCGCAAUUUUCGCCCCUAGUUCAAAUAUUUCAACUUUGAGGUGGUAAUCUCGCAACUCGGGACAAUCAGCUCUCAAGUUGCUCCGCUUAUGGCGAGAACACGGCAAAUGGUCGAGCGAGUAAACUCACACGUUUUGGGCGAUGCGAAAAAUCGCAUCGCUUUUGGUGUGAACGCACCUUUAGAGUCUUAAAAAGUAGGAUGGGAGCCAGAGCCUUCAGUUAUCAAGCUCCUCUUAUGGAACCAGCUUCCACCAUCAAUCCGGGAGGCAGACACAGUCACCUCAUUUAAGAGUAGACUUAAGACUUUCCUCUUCGAUAGCGCUUAUAGUUAGGGCUGAAUCAGGUUUGCCCUGGUCCAGCCCCUAGAUAUGCUGCCAUAGGCUUAUACGCUGCUGGGGGACGUUUUAGGAUACACUGAGCACCUGUAUCCUCUUCUUUCUCUACUUAUGGAUGAAUUUUCAUCUCUCCAUUGCACAUUAUUAACUCUGCUUUCUCUCCGGAGUCCUUGUGACUUCACGUUUCAUAGGGUCCAUUGGAACAGGCUGGGUCUGAUGCCAUGGCGCUGCUGAUGCCCCGCCCACUCCUCCACUCUACCUCCAUCUGCUCUCCUGUAGGUUGCUUCCCUUCUUUCCCUGUGAAAGGGUUGUUUGGGAGUUUUUCCUGAUCCGAUGUGAGGUCCUGGGACAGGGAUGUCUAUUUGUACAGAUUGUAAAGCCCUCUGAGGCAAAUUUGUAAUUUGUGAGAAUGGGCUAUACAAAAUAAACUGAAUUGAAUUGAAUUAUACUGUAGAAAAUCACUGUACCAAACAAAAUAUAUAUGUAUACAUUUAAAGUAACUAACCGUAGUAUACUCACAGUAACUAACAAUAUACUGUAGAAAAUCACUGAAACCAACAACAUACUGUAUACAAUUACAGUAACUAAUCUACUGGAGUAUUUACAGUACCCAACAAAUUGGAAGAAAUCACUGUACCACAAAAAAGUACUUUGUCGAAUUACUUUAACUAAAAAACUACUGUAGAAAAUGACUGUACCCAACACUGUACUGUAAAAAGAAGCCAAAGGUAUAUUUGGAAUUGUAAAUAUUAAACAAAGUGUGAUAUAUAUGAACAUAUUUUUAAUAAUUACUUUUAUGAGUUAGGGUUAGUGUUUAACACUUGAUAUCUUCCGUGUCGCACACAUACAGGUUGAGUCUUUUAUAAUUACAAAUUCAGGCAUGACUUCGGAUGACCCCGGUCAUCCUCUUGCAAGUUGACGAGAUUCCGAGUGACCAAGAACUCUGGCGGUGUAGUUACAUCCGUAACUUUCAUUCUAUUUGAGGGCCCUAUCCAAGGAGGUCAGCUCCUCCACAUGACCAGCCACUAUCAGUAUCCACAGUGGGUGUGAGAAACUCCUGAUGAGUGAAUAUGAAUAAAGCUUCUGAGCCAGAUGGUUGUGUAAGAACAUGGUCCAACCAGCUAACUGACACAAUCAGUAAAGAUUAAAAUUGUUUAUGUUUAAGUUAAUUUCAAUAAACUUGGGAAUAAUUAUACUGCACGUUGCUGGCCGUACUCUAAAGCUUUCUACAUUUUAUUCAUAUCAACAUGUAAUAAUCAGAGUAUUAAUACUUAAUAAUAAUAAUAAUAACCGUAAUGCCUUUGACUCAAAUGGAAACCAAAAAGAUAUACAAUUCUAAUUUGCACAAUAUUUAUACAUAUAUCACACUGCACCUUUUUGUCUCUCAUGACUCAUAAAUCUAAAUUAAUAACAGAGCUGAUAUUUGUUUUUUAUUUGUAUUAUAUGUAAAUCUGGGAAAUAUUUUACUUUCAGAUUUCAGAAAUUGUCAGAUUUUCACAAAUAUUAAGAUAAUAUUGUAAUAAUGGUGCAAUGCUCCUGAGAUUUAUGUGGUUUAUAGGCGUAAACUAUUUUUUUAUGGUGAUGUUCGUUUUUCAGAAGAUGUUCUGUUAUAAUGACAUGUUCACACGCAUGGUUGUAUGAAAUCGAUACAUGGUACUUAAAACCCAAUGUGACAAAUAAUAAACCCACUCCACAACCAUGAAUGUAGGUGUCACGCUGACAAACAAAAUCAUGCUGUCAGGCAGGCACGUGCACAAACAUUUUGGGGGGCAGUUGCUCAAACCAAAAAAAGGGCACCUAUUGCCAAAAAUGUUUUGUGACAGAGUUGAAGCAUAAGUAGCAAUACACUAGUGAAGCUGUCCUCGACCUGCGUUUCCUCUGGACAGGAUUAGACAGCUAGCUUACAUUUUCUUUAUGAAUGUAGCCCUGGGGGGUGUUAAGUUGUAAUAGUUUAUUUUGAUAACAUCUGCAGAGGUCUUAUGUUUUAAAUUAAUACAUAUAGAAAGAUAUUAUAAUAGACAAUAUUAAGGAGAAUAUUGAUAUUGUUAUUAAUGUAUUAUGAAGCAUAGGGGUAAUGUUUACUCUAUGCAAAUGUAAAUGGCAAGAAUUAAUGUAUAUUGCAUGAGAGUGACUAUGUUAGUAUUAUAGAUUGACGAAGCCGGUUGACAUCUGUGAAAUGACUUACAAUAACAAGAGACUUUUAUUGUGAAGGUGACUUUAACAAGACGGGAUUCUUAUUGUGAAAGCGACUGGAACCGGAAGUGACGUUAGACCGGAAACAGGAAGAGUAUAUGACUGCGUGUUUGUAGAGGGAACAUGCUUUUUCACAGGUAAGCCCCGGAGGGGGAAGGCAGCACGGCAGCACGGGACCUCCAGUUCGACGCACGUUAAUAGUGGGAAAUAAUAAUAAUAAUAAAAAUAAGCCACAAAGAGAUAUAUAUUUAUA
Molecule: long non-coding RNA, 7681 nt
Organism: Pseudoliparis swirei
Lineage: Eukaryota; Metazoa; Chordata; Actinopteri; Perciformes; Liparidae
Exons: 2
Source: RefSeq, a predicted model, not a curated record